Molecule: ribosomal RNA, 506 nt
Filed under: uncultured bacterium
Lineage: Bacteria
Description: partial 16S ribosomal RNA
Rfam family: Bacterial small subunit ribosomal RNA
Source: RNAcentral
AUUGAACGCUGGCGGCAGGCCUAACACAUGCAAGUCGGACGGUAGCACAGGGGAGCUUGCUCCUCGGGUGACGAGUGGCGGACGGGUGAGUAAUGUCUGGGGAUCUGCCCGAUAGAGGGGGAUAACCACUGGAAACGGUGGCUAAUACCGCAUAAUGUCGCAAGACCAAAGAGGGGGACCUUCGGGCCUCUCACUAUCGGAUGAACCCAGAUGGGAUUAGCUAGUAGGCGGGGUAACGGCCCACCUAGGCGAUGAUCCCUAGCUGGUCUGAGGGGAUGCCCAGCCACACGGGACCUGAGACCCGGUCCAGACGCCUACGGGAGGCAGCAGUGGGGAAUAUUGCACAAUGGGCGCAAGCCUGAUGCAGCCAUGCCGCGUGUAUGUAGAAGGCCUUCGGGUUGUAAAGUACUUUCAGCGGGGAGGAAGGCGAUGUGGUUAAUAACCGCAUUGAUUGACGUUACCCGCAGAAGAAGCACCGGCUAACUCCGUGCCAGCCGCCGCCGUAA